This 433-nucleotide ribosomal RNA is filed under the name uncultured bacterium. RNAcentral's name for it is "partial 16S ribosomal RNA". It matches the Rfam family "Bacterial small subunit ribosomal RNA", at positions 29 to 507 of the family's 1533-position model. The record is from RNAcentral.
AACGAACGCUGGCGGCAGGCCUAACACAUGCAAGUCGAGCGAGAUCUUCGGGUCUAGCGGCGGACGGGUGAGUAACGCGUGGGAAUAUGCCUCUUGGUACGGAAUAGCCUCGGGAAACUGGGAGUAAUACCGUAUGUGCCCUUUGGGGGAAAGAUUUAUCGCCACGGGAUUAGCCCGCGUUGGAUUAGGUAGUUGGGGGGGUAAUGGCCUACCAAGCCGACGAUCCAUAGCUGGUUUGAGAGGAUGAUCAGCCACACUGGGACUGAGACACGGCCCAGACUCCUACGGGAGGCAGCAGUGGGUAAUCUUAGACAAUGGGGGCAACCCUGAUCUAGCCAUGCCGCGUGAGUGAUGAAGGCCUUAGGGUUGUAAAGCUCUUGCAGCUGGGAAGAUAAUGACGGUACCAGCAGAAGAAGCCCCGGCUAACUCCGUG